This 214-nucleotide ribosomal RNA is filed under the name uncultured Desulfocapsa sp. Its description in RNAcentral is "partial 16S ribosomal RNA". It matches the Rfam family "Bacterial small subunit ribosomal RNA", at positions 1170 to 1382 of the family's 1533-position model. The record is from RNAcentral. Lineage: Bacteria; Pseudomonadati; Thermodesulfobacteriota; Desulfobulbia; Desulfobulbales; Desulfocapsaceae.
AAGGUGGGGAUGACGUCAAGUCCUCAUGGCCUUUAUGACCAGGGCUACACACGUACUACAAUGGCCGGUACAAAGGGCAGCGACACAGCGAUGUGAAGCCAAUCCCGAAAAGCCGGUCUCAGUCCGGAUUGGAGUCUGCAACUCGACUCCAUGAAGUUGGAAUCGCUAGUAAUCGCGGAUCAGCACGCCGCGGUCGAAUACGUUCCCGGGCCUU